RNAcentral lists this transfer RNA (86 nucleotides) under Phycisphaera sp. TMED9. Its description in RNAcentral is "tRNA-Leu". It matches the Rfam family "tRNA". Rfam says of the family: Transfer RNA (tRNA) molecules are approximately 80 nucleotides in length. Their secondary structure includes four short double-helical elements and three loops (D, anti-codon, and T loops). RNAcentral also lists the same sequence under 1 other name. The record is from RNAcentral. Lineage: Bacteria; Pseudomonadati; Planctomycetota; Phycisphaerae; Phycisphaerales; Phycisphaeraceae.
GGACCCGUGGCGGAAUCGGCAGACGCAGCGGCCUUAAAAGCCGCGGCCGUGAAAACGGCGUGAGGGUUCGAACCCCUCCGGGUCCA